UGUCAGAUAGCUCAGUUGGUUAAGGUGUAUGGAUUUUGCAAGAGGUCAAAGGUUCAAAUCCUACACUGGUAA
Non-coding RNA from Schizopora paradoxa, 72 nucleotides. Lineage: Eukaryota; Fungi; Basidiomycota; Agaricomycetes; Hymenochaetales; Schizoporaceae. The record is from the annotation of a GenBank genome assembly.